GAUGAACGCUGGCGGCGUGCCUAAUACAUGCAAGUCGAGCGAACGGACGAGAAGCUUGCUUUUCUGAUGUUAGCGGCGGACGGGUGAGUAACACGUGGAUAACCUACCUAUAAGACUGGGAUAACUUCGGGAAACCGGAGCUAAUACCGGAUAAUAUUUUGAACCGCAUGGUUCAAAAGUGAAAGACGGUCUUGCUGUCACUUAUAGAUGGAUCCGCGCUGCAUUAGCUAGUUGGUAAGGUAACGGCUUACCAAGGCAACGAUGCAUAGCCGACCUGAGAGGGUGAUCGGCCACACUGGAACUGAGGCACGGUCCAGACUCCUACGGGAGGCAGCAGUAGGGAAUCUUCCGGAAUGGGCGAAAGCCUGACGGAGCAACGCCGCGUGAGUGAUGAAGGUCUUCGGAUCGUAAAACUCUGUUAUUAGGGAAGAACAUAUGUGUAAGUAACUGUGCACAUCUUGACGGUACCUAAUCAGAAAGCCACGGCUAACUACGUG
RNAcentral lists this ribosomal RNA (497 nucleotides) under uncultured bacterium. RNAcentral describes it as "partial 16S ribosomal RNA". It matches the Rfam family "Bacterial small subunit ribosomal RNA", at positions 28 to 507 of the family's 1533-position model. The record is from RNAcentral.